ACUCCUAUGCAGACAAAUCAGCUGCUUAUUUUAUAUGCUCCUCCAGCAUUAUAUUUUUGAAUAGUAUAUUUUUAAUUACACUAAUUCACUUAAUUGACACCAUGGCAGACACUGAUAAGAAUAAAGGGUCUGAAGUCUUCAGGGAACUGAAAAAAACUAGCAAAUCGAAAGACAAAGUCCUUCAACUCAUAAAAACUAAAAAUACACAUAAGUGUGACAUGUGUGACGAAACUUUUGCAAAACCAACAGACCUUAGAAUUCAUGUCAAACGACACAGGGAUGUUAAGGAUUAUUCUUGUGAAAUAUGUCACAAAACGUUUGUUACGGCUAAUGAGGUAAAUCAACAUCUAGUGAGUCAUUCGGACGAGAGAAAGUUUAGAUGUAUGCUUUGUAGUAAGGAUUACAAGAGAAAUAGGAAUCUUUUGACGCAUAUGCGGAUAAAACAUGCUGGAUCCUCUCAGAUUGAAAGUUUAUGCCAACACUGGAAACCUAAAAAUUGGACUGCGACCAUUUAAACCGGAGGAUUAUUACGAGAGUAACGGGGGGCUGUUCGCAAUAAUAAUGAAGAUUUGGGCUAAAGACAAUGUCAUCGGGAUAAGCGUCAGCAAGACGACGUAUGGGAAUACUGUUCUUGCAGCCAAAGAAAACAAAAAAACCAUGAAGUAUGCCACUCGAAACAACGUCACAAUGUUCAAAAAAGCCUGUUCGUCCAGAAUUCUCCUCCCAGAAGGAUUUGAAGUGAUCUGCGAGGAGACAUUAACCGUCCCGAUUCCUCCCUUCCAAGGAACCUUGUGCAGUUCAAACGGGAAGUGGGUGGUGCGGAACAUUCUGCAAAAGGUUUGCGUCGACACCUUCAUGCCGCCUGAAGCCAUCUCUUAUUUGAAAAGGAUGACCUCGACACGAUCAUCACUGCGGUGAACGAGUUGGUGAACUCGUUGGCCAUUGGUGACAAGGAGCUGGUCUUCAUUGACGAAGUCGAGGAAGGAGACCGUGAACUCGGUGAACCAGUUUUCAAUGGUGUGGGUAAACUGGACGGCGAAGGGGGAGCAAGAUUAGCAAAUUGGAGGAGGAGGUGGAAAUGCUGAAGGGAAAGUUGGAGGAUGAAGCCAGAGAGAAGGAAAUGUGGAGGGAAAAGUUCGAGGAAACUGUGAAAUUGAUGGUGUCUGUGAAGAGAGAGAAAGCGGUGCUACUGCGGGCUAAUUCUACAAAAAGGAACUAUAUUUCUGAGGACCCUGUUUCCUUCUCCAACAACCCGGUGAAGAGGAAGAAAUAAACUAUUAUUUACACGAUCGUGUACUUCCACGUAAAGGCUUAUCUCUACAUCCCAUUCACUCACCUACGUUAUACAAUAAUUAAUAUUUGUUAUCUAGUUAACACAGAAAUUUUGUAUUUGUUCGGAUUUGUCCACCAUUUGUGUAGUUUUCCAUUAGUUCAGUACUAUUUGUAAAUUCUAUUUUGAAGUUUCAAAUAUAAAACUCAAUUUACUUACCCGGA
Folsomia candida is the source of this 1494-nucleotide RNA transcript. It is a transcript of the gene named zinc finger protein 2, with no coding region annotated. NCBI's taxonomy places the organism in Eukaryota, Metazoa, Arthropoda, Collembola, Entomobryomorpha, Isotomidae. The record is from RefSeq and is a predicted model, not a curated record. The transcript is spliced from 5 exons.